This is a long non-coding RNA of Dreissena polymorpha, 1115 nucleotides long. RefSeq lists it as uncharacterized. The record is from RefSeq and is a predicted model, not a curated record. The transcript is spliced from 4 exons. Lineage: Eukaryota; Metazoa; Mollusca; Bivalvia; Myida; Dreissenidae.
GUCACACGACUCAACAUGUGUCGUCAAGUACAAUAUCUCUCAGACGCUUUGGCCGGACCAUUGCGUCAUCAACACGACAGAUGCGAAGAUCAGUGUAAACAUGAACAUACAACAGGGUGACGUCAUUGUUCAGAAAGGAUACCACUGCCAGGUUGAUUCGUACUCAGGAUUCUACGACAAUGGCGGUUUUUCGCACACACAAAUGAACGACGUUCUGAAGAAGAACGGGAUUACACAUGUGCUCGUUACCGGACUAGUUCGACUUCUGCGUGUAUAACACUUCAAAGGACGCCAAAAAGCUGGGUAACGACACGUUUUUUUAUUCUCGACGCUACACGUCCCGUCUUCGAGAGUAACGUUAAAAACGUCACCGCUGAUCUGCGUUCAAAAGGUGUCCACGUCAUCAACUCCACUGACAUCGGCGACUACAUUAGAGCAUCAACGACCCGUGACAUCGGCGACUACAUUAGAGCAUCAGCGACCCGUGACAUCGGCGACUACAUUAGAGCAUCAGCGACCCGUGACAUCGGCGACUACAUUAGAGCAUCAGCGACCAGUGACAUCGGCGACUACAUUAGAACAUCAGCAACCCGUGACUUCGGCGACUAUAUUAGAGCAUCAGCGACCCGUGACAUCGGCGACUACAUUAGAGCAUUAGCGACGCGGGCAUCAAGCUUUACAGCUCUCGUAACUGUAUUCGUUUAUUUCUUUAUUCAAGUGAUUUCGCGAAUUGUUUUGUUUUAAUUUCAUUCCGAAUGAAUAUUGAAAAACAGUGAUGUCCUUUAACAAACCAUUAUUUAGAUGCAUUAAAUAGAUAAUAUGUUGCAACUGAUGGUAUUAUUUAAAUGCAUUUUAUUAAAAAUGAAUUGUUAUUUGGUGUUAUCAUUUAGAUGCAUUUAAUAAAAUAAUUUGGUUCUGGAAAUAUAAUUUGAAUACAUUAUAUAACACUAUCUUGCAAAAGCUGUGAUCGUUUUGAUGUCUGUGAUAAAAAAUGUUGCAACAGGUGUGAUAACUUAGAUGCAUAUAAUAAACACGUAGUGCUACCGGUGUUAUCAUUUAGAUGGAUGCAAUAAAUUGCGUUGGUACUGGCGUUACAAUUUAGAUGCAUUACACAA